Molecule: non-coding RNA, 1401 nt
Organism: Pelobates cultripes (western spadefoot toad)
Lineage: Eukaryota; Metazoa; Chordata; Amphibia; Anura; Pelobatidae
Source: the annotation of a GenBank genome assembly
AGACACCACACAUCUCCUACCAACGACCCAACACAUUUUACAACAAUGGGACAUAUCCAAACACAAAAUGGUACUCUACCACCCAACGGCACUAGCAACCCCCCUAACCGCCCUAGGAGUGGCAAUACCGACACUAAACACCCGCCCAUGGACACAAGGAGGCAUUGAAACCGUUGUCCAACUAUACAACGAAAAGGGUCUUAAACCCUUCUCGGACCUACAGCAGGAAUUCAACCUCCCCCACAAACUAACCUUUGCGUACCUGCAAAUAAAAUCAUACUUAUCCAACAAUGCACCCACUAGGGCAGGGGUUCCACUACCACAGCGCAUGACCGAAUUUGAACAGUCAUGCGUUACCACAAAGCCCUUCAAAAGGCUACUCUCUCUGAACUAUAACACCCUCCUCCAACAACCAAUCGAACUCACCGACACGCACAUACAGGCAUGGCACAAGGAACUAGGGAAAACUAUUCCUCAGGAACAUUGGGCCAAGGCUUACUCUUCACAUAAAGGCAUUACCUCAUGUGCCAAUCACCUUGAGUUACAACGCAAACUGUUAUAUAGAUGGUACCUCGUGCCCACCAAGAUCAACCAGAUAUGGCCAAACUCCUCUAAUAAGUGCUGGAGAUGUGGACAAGCCAAAGGCAAUAUGUCUCACAUAUGGUGGUCAUGCCAAGCAUUACAAUCAUUCUGGGAAGAGACCCAAGCCACGUUAACUGAAGCAAUCCAAACACAAAUAUCACUAACACUAGAGCUAUGCAUCCUAUUUAUCCCACCCGACAUGAUCACUCAAGAAAAGUGGGCAAUUGCAUACCACAUCUUGAUCUCAGCAGCAAUGUGCAUAGCUAGAUUAUGGAAGUCCACAACACCCCCCAACCAAAACUCUUUGUUGAAACAAGUGGAACUCAACUGGAAAUACGAAAUGAUAUACGCACACCAAUUUGGUAUGAAAAAACACUUACACCACGCCCAUAAUAGAUGGACAGAAUAUCUAGCUACCUCCACGACGGACAACGUCCGGGGCCAAACAUAGGCCCACACAGCAUUGGCUCCCCCCCCAACCCCCCCCCCGUCUCCCCCCCUCCCCUUCGUACACCCCCUCUUAUGUUCAAAAGUACACUAUAUGCCUCCGAAGUCGAUUUAGGCACCCUAACAGCGAAAGGCACAGCACAAACACAGUGGAGGGACAGGUAUUGGGUUAAGUCAAGGCACUAGGGUUAUGAACAGAACUGGUAGCCCGCUGAGCUACCACAGAUAUGGGUAUCCACACAGGCGUUGAGUGAUACCCAGCAAAGAAAGCUGCACACGAUAAGUAUACGCAUACAUCACCCUCCCUGUCACCACAACUGUUUUGAAAUAAUUCCGGUGCACUAUGUAACAAUACGUUGGCAUGUACUGUAC